GAUGAACGCUGGCGGCGUGCUUAACACAUGCAAGUCGAACGGAAAGGCUCCUGCUUGCAGGGGUACUCGAGUGGCGAACGGGUGAGUAACACGUGGGUGAUCUGCCCUGCACUUCGGGAUAAGCCUGGGAAACUGGGUCUAAUACCGGAUAGGACGAUGGUUUGGAUGCCAUUGUGGAAAGUUUUUCGGUGUGGGAUGAGCUCGCGGCCUAUCAGCUUGUUGGUGGGGUAAUGGCCUACCAAGGCGUCGACGGGUAGCCGGCCUGAGAGGGUGUACGGCCACAUUGGGACUGAGAUACGGCCCAGACUCCUACGGGAGGCAGCAGUGGGGAAUAUUGCACAAUGGGCGCAAGCCUGAUGCAGCGACGCCGCGUGGGGGAUGACGGCCUUCGGGUUGUAAACUCCUUUCGCUAGGGACGAAGCGCAAGUGACGGUACCUGGGGAAGAAGCACCGGCUAACUACGUG
RNAcentral lists this ribosomal RNA (465 nucleotides) under uncultured bacterium. Its description in RNAcentral is "partial 16S ribosomal RNA". It matches the Rfam family "Bacterial small subunit ribosomal RNA", at positions 28 to 507 of the family's 1533-position model. The record is from RNAcentral.